UACGGGGGGGGCAAGCGUUGUUCGGAAUUACUGGGCGUAAAGGGCGCGUAGGCGGCCUUCUAAGUCGAACGUGAAAUCCCCGGGCUCAACCCGGGAACUGCGUCCGAUACUGGAAGGCUUGAAUCCGGGAGAGGGAUGCGGAAUUCCAGGUGUAGCGGUGAAAUGCGUAGAGAUCUGGAGGAAUACCAGAGGCGAAGGCGGCUUGCUGGGGUGGAAUUGACGCUCAGACACGAAAGCAUGGGGAGCGAACGGG
RNAcentral lists this ribosomal RNA (253 nucleotides) under uncultured bacterium. RNAcentral describes it as "partial 16S ribosomal RNA". It matches the Rfam family "Bacterial small subunit ribosomal RNA", at positions 524 to 776 of the family's 1533-position model. The record is from RNAcentral.